Molecule: ribosomal RNA, 433 nt
Filed under: uncultured bacterium
Lineage: Bacteria
Description: partial 16S ribosomal RNA
Rfam family: Bacterial small subunit ribosomal RNA
Source: RNAcentral
AACGAACGCUGGCGGCAUGCCUAACACAUGCAAGUCGAACGAGACCUUCGGGUCUAGUGGCGCACGGGUGCGUAACGCGUGGGAACCUGCCCUUAGGUUCGGAAUAACUCCCCGAAAGGGGUUCUUAUACCGGAUAAUGUCUUCGGACCCAAGAUUUAUCGCCUUUGGAUGGGCCCGCGUUGGAUUAGCUAGUUGGUAGGGUAAAAGCCUACCAAGGCGACGAUCCAUAGCUGGUCUGAGAGGAUGAUCAGCCACACUGGGACUGAGACACGGCCCAGACUCCUACGGGAGGCAGCAGUGGGGAAUAUUGGAAAAUGGGCGAAAGCCUGAUCCAGCAAUGCCGAGUGAGUGAUGAAGGCCUUAGGGUUGUAAAGCUCUUUUAACCGGGAUGAUAAUGACAGUACCGGGAGAAUAAGCUCCGGCUAACUCCGUG